AGCGUUGCCAGUGAGAGCAUGAAGUCCCGCUGUUGAUCUUCACAGGCAAAGCACCUCCUCCUCCUCUUUUGAUGAUGCCUCCCGGAAGAGCCUGAACACCUUACUGAAGUCUCUAAAUCUCCAUUUCCUCUUCUGUAAAGUGCCGACGCCUCACAGUACUGUGGUGAGUGAAAUAAUGAAAUAGUAAUUAAAUGAGAUAAUCAGGUAAUGUAUUUACUGAUCCUUUACUCUGGAGGUUCUAGAAUGUUCUUGUAGUAACCAAAGGUAGAUGACUCAUU
This 278-nucleotide long non-coding RNA is filed under the name Equus caballus (horse). Its description in RNAcentral is "lncRNA (ENSECAG00000057155.1)". The record is from RNAcentral. Lineage: Eukaryota; Metazoa; Chordata; Mammalia; Perissodactyla; Equidae.